CCUUCCCAAGGCGCGUGAGAGAACCCUGGUUAAGGAACUCGGCAAAUCGACACCGUAACUUCGGGAGAAGGUGUGCCGCUGGCGGUUAGUGACUUCGCGUCACGAAGCUGUCGGUGGUCGCAGUGAAAUGGCGGUUGUGACUGUUUACUAAAAACACAGGACUCUGCGAAGUCGUAAGACGACGUAUAGGGUCUGAUGCCUGCCCGGUGCUGGAAGGUUAAGGGGAUAUGUCAGCGCAAGCGAAGCAUUGAACCGAAGCCCCAGUAAACGGCGGCCGUAACUAUAACGGUCCUAAGGUAGCGAAAUUCCUUGUCGGGUAAGUUCCGACCUGCACGAGGGCAUAACAACAUCCGCACUGUCUCGACCAGGGACUCAGCGAAAUUACAUUGGGGGUGAAGAUGCCCUCUACCCGCGGAAAGACGGAAAGACCCCAUGAACCUUUACUGCAACUUGGCAGUGAUUUUCGGGUUGUUCUGCGUAGGAUAGGUGGGAGGCUUUGAAGCCGGGCUUCCGGGUUCGGCAGAGCCAACGUUGAAAUACCACCCUGAAUAAUCUGGAAAUCUAGCCUGCGCCCAUGAUCUGGGCGAGGGACACUGCCUGGUGGGCAGUUUGACUGGGGCGGUCGCCUCCUAAAUUGUAACGGAGGCGUGCGACGGUUCCCUCAGGCUGAUUGGAAACCAGCCGUAGAGUGCAAACGCAUAAGAGAGCUUUACUGCGAGACUGACAAGUCGAACAGUCGCGAAAGCAGGUGUUAGUGAUCCGGUGGUACCACAUGGAAGGGCCAUCGCUCAUCGGAUAAAAGGUACUCUGGGGAUAACAGGCUGAUCGCGCCUGAGAGUUCACAUCGGCGGCGCGGUUUGGCACCUCGAUGUCGGCUCAUCGCAUCCUGGGGCUGGAGCAGGUCCCAAGGGUUUGGCUGUUCGCCAAUUAAAGCGGUACACGAGCUGGGUUUAAAACGUCGUGAGACAGUUUGGUCCCUAUCUUCCGUGGGCGCAGGACACUUGAGAGGAGCUAUCCAUAGUACGAGAGGACCUGGAUGGACGAACCUCUGGUGCUCCGGUUGUCACGCCAGUGGCAUAGCCGGGUAGCCAUGUUCGGAACAGAUAACCGCUGAAGGCAUAUAAGCGGGAAGCUGGCCUCAAGACUAGGUGUCCCUGACGCAAGUCACUAAAGGCCCCUCGAAGACUACGAGGUUGAUAGGCUCGGUGUGGAAGCGCUGCGAGGCGUGGAGCUAACGAGUACUAAUAGGCCGUGCGACUUGACCUC
This 1266-nucleotide ribosomal RNA is filed under the name metagenome. RNAcentral's name for it is "bacterial LSU rRNA". It matches the Rfam family "Bacterial large subunit ribosomal RNA", at positions 1676 to 2925 of the family's 2925-position model. The record is from RNAcentral.